Molecule: long non-coding RNA, 557 nt
Filed under: Anas platyrhynchos platyrhynchos (common mallard)
Lineage: Eukaryota; Metazoa; Chordata; Aves; Anseriformes; Anatidae
Description: lncRNA (ENSAPLG00000017665.1)
Source: RNAcentral
GGAGGAGGAGGAGAAAUAGAUAUUAGGUUGAUCUUUCAUUUCCCAGCAAGCCACUCCUGUUUCAGAUGUUUAUCUCUGGCAUACUGGUGUAAAUCAGCUGAAAGCAGCAAGAUUUACCCCUGCUCUGCAGAGACGUGAGCUGCGAUCAGGCGCACAGUCGCGGUAUGCGUGCACAUCCACAAGAAAGCAGUGAGAGCACCGCACUCCUGUGGAAAAGAAACCUGCACUUGGCUGGUGGUGCCUUUGAACUGAAGUGUUGGAGCUUGCCCCAACAUGUGGGGGAAGAGGUUUCCAUCCAGAGAGGAAUACCUGUUGAAGAUUCAGAAGAUAUUUUCCAGAGUCCCAGCCCUGAGGCUGAAUGGGAACAGAGCUGGACUCACCCGAGGAAAAACAGAAGAUUAAUGAGGAAACCUACAAAAGAGAAAAGAGAGGCAAAGGCAUCUAGUCACCAUCUGAAGACUUCAGGAGACAGACGGUUAAACAGCACUCCUCCAUCCCUUUGCUGUAAUUUUCUUCUUAGCUCUCAUGCUGUUAUGUCCUCUUUCCAACAUCAGUGA